Non-coding RNA from Danio rerio (zebrafish), 7342 nucleotides. Lineage: Eukaryota; Metazoa; Chordata; Actinopteri; Cypriniformes; Danionidae. The record is from RefSeq and is a predicted model, not a curated record.
UUGAAAAUGCACCUCCAUGUAGUGUGUAACACAGCUCUAAGUGAAGUUAAAGGAAGUUAAAGGAAGGCGUUUAUUAAAGGAAGAAUCAGUAAAGUGUACUGAUUGACAUGUCAGGACAUGAAUCGAUUUCUUCCUCCAUUUCUCAAGUGUAAGUACAUGCGAUUAAAGUUGUUGCCUCGUUUACUCUAGCUUGCAAAUGUAUUUAGUUGUGAUUUGUUACUUAUAACUGCAUGUACUGUAUCAGGUUAACUCGCUGUUACGAAUUCUCCAUGUAUGCCUGUCAGAGAGUAUGAGCAUGCAGUACACCAAGUACGCCUCAAGGUGGCACUGUUUGAUCACAUAUGGACAUUUAGUGAACUGAUUACAGGCAUCGUGCUUUAGUGUUGCAUCAGCCAUUCCGUCUGGAAAGUUCGCUCGAUUGCACGCAUUAUUGGGACAAUGUAUGAGUGACAGACAAAGUAAGUUUAAUGUUAUUUGCUUAUAUACUGUUAUUUGAAGAUUGAAUCAACAGCAAACACUGUUUAGCAGUUUAAAUGUGUUUAUUAUGCACAAUCUGUUUACUAUCGCGAUCUGUUCAUUGCCCGUGAAUUGUGCUCUGUAAUAUGAGACGCUGAUCAUUGAAAGUGUAAAUUGAUGAUCAUUAUAAUUUGUAUUAACAAAGGAAUAAGUGUACACUUGAUACUUUGUAUACUAAGAUAUAUUUCAGUUUAUUUGUUAUUUGUAUAAGAAUGUUUCAGUAAUUAAUUUGUAAUUCUUUUGUUCUUUAUUGUUCUCAGAAACCUUGCAUUUGUCCAUCUCAGCAAUCAUUAAAGCUACAUAUAUCAUUUAAUACUGACUCCAAGUUCUCUAAUCGGAACCCUGUGGCGGUUAGCAAACAUCGGUCCAGUAAUUAAUCCCUAAUUGUAACAUGGUCCUUCGAGCCGGAGCUAACUACUACAGACAUGUCAGUAUCUGAAGCAAACUCUUCCAGUCCAGUUCAGAGGUCAGUGAGGCUACGUACACUUCCUGCGCAUCUGGAAAACUAUAUUUUGGAUAUCAAUCUUCCUAGUUGUCUUCCAUCAAGCACUUUUGCAGCGAAUGUAGUUGGAGAUAUAUUGGCAUCAUCUACGCUCGCUCCCAUGAGUAAAUCAGAGCAAAUUCAGUCAAAUAAAGAACUUUCAUUGAGAGAACUGAUGGAGAACCUCUCCGCAGCGGAGCAGGAGGAAUCAAAUGAGAUCGCACAGCUCACAAGCAGAUUGUCUCUUUAUGAGAAAAGGCAGCAGCGUCGACAGGAUAUGAUGCUGCGAAUUAAUGCAUUCCUACAUGAAGAGGAAGCCGACAGCCUUAUAGUACAAGGUGCAGACGCAGCCAUACAGAAGGGAGCACAUUCCCAGGAGUCUGUUCCUCACAUUUCCUCGACUGCUGAACACUCAUCAAAGAUACCAGCUAUUUAUUUAGCAUCUCAGCCUGCAUUAAUGAGCCCAGAACAGAAGAGAUCUGACCUCCCUCCUAUCUCAUCAGCACCGGUAACUCCUAAUACACCUUAUGUAGUCCAGUCUACUAACAUAGCCCCGCCUGCAUCGCAGACGCUUCCAUUACACAAUGUGAGUUCCAUUCACUCUAUGCCAUCAUCAUAUUUCAUGUCUCCACGACUGCACGCUGACCCAGACGCAGCACAGAUACAAAUACGUACACCUGUACAAUAUGGACAUCAGUCACCCCCCAAACUUAUAAGGUCCUCAGGCCUGGAGGAUGCUCCUCGACUGCCCCAACAGCAAUGGGCCAUAAAUUAUCCCGUUACAGUGCCUCACAUGCAGCCUUCUGUAGCCCAUCCAGGCAAUCAUUAUGCCUAUUCAGCACAGCCUGAUUACCGUAGUGCCUAUCACCAGCCGUAUGCAGUGCACUCAAAUGAAUGGCCACAGCCUAUUGACUAUCGUGCAGCACCCCCAGUUCAUAUGCCCCUGUAUGGAGCACCGAAGCCUUCAAUUCCAGAUUUUAAUGCAGACAAUGAAAGGGAUUUCGCCAAUCUAAAACUGGCAUUAGACAAUCUACUAGAUUCACAUCCAGAACUAUCAGAAAAAUACAAGUAUCACGUGCUGCUAGAGCAUCUCAAACUCCCAGAGGCUCAAAUGAUCGGCCAAUCAUGCCGACAUGAAGCUCAUCCUUAUACAUCAGCAAUGCAAGCUCUUCAGUUACAUUAUGGACAGCCUCAUCAGUUAGCUCAGAGCGAAAUUGCAGCUAUUCUGAAUGCUCCAGAUGUUAAAGUUGGUGAUGCUAGUAGCUUCCAGUCAUUUGCUUUAAGAGUUCACCUUCUUGUGAGUAUGCUGUUAUCUCUGGAAGGAUCCAGAGGUAUUGAACUUAGCUGCUGUUCCCAUGUAGAUAGGCUCCUCAGCAAACUCCCUAAGUAUCUCAGAGACAACUUCAUUGAAUAUUUGCAGAUACAAGGUAAGCUGAAUGUCUCCAGUCUCAACCCAUAUAACCUCAGAGACUUCUCUGGCUGGCUUCAAGGUAAAGCUCAGCAGCAGCGCCUGUCCAAUAAGCUAGUUGAACGUUAUCAGAAAGAAAAGUUUAUCCCCCAAGCACAUGGGAGAACCUCAACGCGACCUAGAGGUCAGAGUACUUUAGUCUACCAUGGGGUAGAAUCCCAAAGCAAUAGAGCUCCUAAGCCGGAGUCUCAGCCCCCUCAGUGGAGAAAAUCCAAAGUGCAUUGUCUGUUCUGCCACAGUAAAGAUCACUACAUAACACAGUGCUCAGAUAUUAAGGAGCAGUCAGCAGAUAAUCUCAUGCAGUGGAUAGUAGAGGGAAAACGAUGUUGGAAGUGUGGUCGUUCUCAUUCUCCAGAGAGCUGUAAUCUGAGAAAACCCUGCGGUAUGUGUGGAGAAAUACACCUUCAAGUGCUCCAUGGAGCUGCAGAGAAGCGAUUCAAAGCUAAGCAGACUACUGCACUGAGUAGCAGAAUCUAUCUCACCCCUUCUAACUCCUCAGGUCGAGUCUUGCUGAAAGUGGUGCCAGUGCUGCUGCAUAACGAGGACAGGACCAUCGAGACAUUCGCUAUACUUGAUGAUGGAGCAGAACGAACCAUGCUGCUGCCCACAGCAGCUCAAAAGCUGCAGCUGGAGGGUAAGGAAGAAACCUUAGCCUUACGUACUAUUCGCCAUGAUGUUACAUUCCUUACUGGUUCGAUUGUUACCUUUGAUGUGUCCUCCAUGCUCAAUUCUGGAACCAGAUAUAGGAUUCAAAAUGCAUUUACUGCUGCUGGUUUAGAUCUGGUGGAGCAGAGCUACCCUAUAAAGGCUCUCCAACACAAAUAUGCACACUUAAGGAAUCUUCCACUGCAGCCUUUCAAGAAUGUUCAACCCUUGUUGUUGAUUGGGUCAGAUAAUAGCACUCUGAUCACAGCGGAGAAGACAGUUCAAGCCAGCAAUCAGAUGGGACCAGUUGCAGUUCGCACAAAGCUGGGCUGGGCUCUUCAAGGCCCAGAAGGCCUCCUAAACAAAGGUACCACAAUGACUCAGAGCUAUUUCUUUACUGCCUCAGCAGCACACGACACACUUUAUAGAGAUGUGGAAAGACUGUGGCAAUUAGACUCAUUACCAUACCGCAGCGAGAAGGUUGUAAUUCGCUCUAGACAAGACCAAGAGUCCAUCAAGAUUCUUGAUACUAAAACGUGCAGAUUAUUGGUUAAUGAUGUGGAACGUUAUGCCACCCCACUCUUACGCCCAGCAGAAGCUCCUAAGCUGAGAGCUCCUAAAGAGUCGGUACUAGCCAAUCUACGUAACACAGAAAAGAGACUCCGAGAUCAGCCGGAGAAAGCAGCUGCUUAUAAGGGAGAAAUGAAUAGGCUGAUUCAGGCUGGCUAUGUGAAGCAGAUUACUGCAGAGGAAGCUGAAAACUCAGAGGAGUCCUGGUAUCUGCCACAUCAUCUCGUUUAUCAUAAUGAUAAAGCACGGCUAGUGUUCAAUUGUUCCCAUGUAUACAAGGGCACCUCCCUAAACGAUCAGUUACUGCCAGGUCCGAACCUGGGGCCUUCUCUAAUUGGGGUCCUACUGCGAUUCCGGCAACAUCAAGUGGCAAUCAGUGGGGAUAUAAGAGGAAUGUUCCACCAGGUUCACCUGUUGCCUGAGGACACUCCGUUGCUACGGUUCCUUUGGAGGGACUUACAGCAGGAAGCCUCACCAGAGAUAUAUGAAUGGCAGGUGCUACCUUUUGGGACAACAAGUAGUCCCUGCUGCGCUAUCUACGCAUUACAGAGGCAUGUCAGAGAACACCCACGCAGCACUCCAGGUCUCAUUGAGUCAGUCGAGCGCAGCUUCUAUGUUGAUAAUUGUUUGGAGAGUCACCCCAAUGGUGCAGCAGCCCAAGCUAGAGUUGAUGACUUGCGUAGUUUACUAGCUGAUGGUGGAUUUGAUAUCAGACAAUGGGCUAGCAAUCGAUUAUCAGUUGUGGCUCACCUACCCCCUGAAGCCAGGUCUAAGGACAUGGAGCUGUGGCUAGAGCAUAAUCGGAGUGAUCAAAGAGAGCCUGCAUUAGGACUCUGCUGGAACUGUAGUUCAGAUACACUGGGCUACAGAUAUCGACCCAUUGAGUACUCAACUCUGACCAUGCGCACAAUUUAUAAGAUACUGGCCAGUCAGUACGACCCGCUAGGGUUCCUUACGCCAUACCUAACCAGAGCUAAAGUUCUUGUGCAGCAGCUGUGGGCAAAGAGGAGAGACUGGGAUGAUCCAGAUCUCCCUCUAGAUCUAUGUGAAUCCUGGAAGCAAUGGGAGAGUGAAUUGCCAAAUAUCAGUGCCAUCUCAAUCCCUCGUAGUUAUCUCCCAGAUGGAAUGGAUCAGCCCAACACUGAACACCACCUUCAUGUUUUCUGUGACGCCUCUGAGAAGGCGUACGGAGCAGUAGCCUACCUCUCAUCCACACAAGGUGGUGCUACCAAUGUAGCAUUCGUCAUGGCCAGAUCAAAGGUUGCCCCUAAACGACAACAGACUAUGCCACGACUGGAGUUGUGUGCAGCGCUGGCAGGAGCGCAGCUUGCCAAUCUGAUCCAGACAGAAUUGUCAGUCACACUGCAAAGGACUACACUGUGGACAGACUCCACGACAGUUCUAGAGUGGUUGCAAUCAGAAUCAUGUAGAUUUAAGGUAUUCGUUGGUGCUCGUGUAUCAGAGAUACAAGAACUUACAGAUCUGCGAGCCUGGCGUUAUGUGGAUACGCUGAGUAAUCCAGCGGAUGACUUGACAAGAGGAAAGAAACUUCUAGAUCUAGCUACUCCCAACAGGUGGAGUAAAGGGCCAUCCUUUCUGUUGCAAGCUCCUGACUGUUGGCCAGAGAAACCACAUACUGCUCCAUUACUCCAGUCAGAUGAACUGAGAAAUAUAACACUCUGCAACUUAGUAUCGGUACAACAGCAGGACAGUGUGCCAGAUGCAAGUCAGUUCACAUCAUGGAAGGACCUAGUCGAAGCUGUCCGCCUCCAAUGUCAGGGUACAGGAGAGCCUGCUCAAACUCAGCCAAGCAAUAGUUACCGUGCAGCUGAACUCACCCUUCUAAGAGCAUGCCAAGAAAGCAGCUUUCCAGAGGAGCUCACCUCACUUAAGACAGGCCAGCCCGUUCAUAUCAACAGCAGGCUCAGGCACUUAGCACCAGAGCUGGACGAGGCAACUAACCUUAUCAGAGUAGGAGGGAGGCUACGACGGAUGCAGCCGAUCAGUGACUUUGAGAUCCAUCCUAUAGUGCUCGACUCACGUCAUCCUGCCACUGCCCUUCUUAUCAAAGACUAUGACGAGCGCCUGCUGCAUAGUGGAUCUGAGAGAGUCUUCGCAGAGAUCAGAAGGCAGUAUUGGAUCUUGAAGGGGCGGCAGGCUAUAAAGAAACAUCAGCUUCAAUGCACAGAGUGCCAACGAUGGAGAGCUCGCCCUAGAAUUCCUCAAAUGGCAGACCUACCAUCAGCUCGCCUCCGUAUCUUUUCUCCACCAUUUCACUCAACGGGCAUUGACUGCUAUGGGCCAUUCAUUGCUAAGAUUGGCAGGCGCCAUGAGAAGAGAUGGGGAGUGAUUUUCAAGUGUUUAACAACCCGUGCAGUACACUUGGAUCUGCUCAAUUCAAUGGAUACGGAUGCUUUCUUACUUGCCCUCCGUCGAUUCAUUGCACGGCGAGGCAGACCAGUGGAGAUUCUCUCAGAUCGAGGCACUAAUUUUCGAGGGGCAGAUGCGGAAUUGAGAGCAGCCUUUGAGGAAAUGGAAACACAGCUUCAACAGCAGCUGGCAAGUUACCAGAUUGAGUUUAAAUUCAACCCACCUAAUGCUCCACAUUUCGGAGGUGUAUGGGAGCGGGAGAUUCGCUCCAUCAAGAAUGCACUCCAGGUUGCUGUGGGAACUCAACCUCUACCAGAGGAUGUGCUACACACCAUCCUUGUUGAAGUAGAAGGUAUCAUUAACUCCAAGCCUCUUGGAUAUGUUUCAGCUGACAUCGCUGACCCUGAUCCUAUAACCCCAAACAUGCUCCUCAUGGGGCGGCGGGAUGCUUCCCUGCCGCAAGCCGUUUAUGCUCCUGAAACUAUAGGACGACGAAGAUGGAGGCAUUGUCAAAAUAUCAUAGAGCAUUUCUGGAUUCAUUUCUUGCGAGACUACCUGCCAGCACUUCAAUCUCGCUACAAAUGGCAGCAACAAAAGGAAGCCAUUGCAUUAGGGACUGUGGUAAUGAUAGUAGAUCCUAAUCUACCACGUGCAGACUGGCCUGUGGGACGAGUGCUGAAGCUCUUUCCGAGUCAAGACGGCAAAGUACGAGCAGUCGAAAUUCAAGUAAAGGAUAAAGUCUACACUCGUCCUGUGGCACGACUUAUUCCCCUACCAGGGCUGCCAGACAGUGCUAAAGAUCAGUCAGCAUAAAGAAUUCUCUUGAUAUACACAUUUGCUACUCAAAUGUGGGGGCGGCUGUUACGAAUUCUCCAUGUAUGCCUGUCAGAGAGUAUGAGCAUGCAGUACACCAAGUACGCCUCAAGGUGGCACUGUUUGAUCACAUAUGGACAUUUAGUGAACUGAUUACAGGCAUCGUGCUUUAGUGUUGCAUCAGCCAUUCCGUCUGGAAAGUUCGCUCGAUUGCACGCAUUAUUGGGACAAUGUAUGAGUGACAGACAAAAAACCUUGCAUUUGUCCAUCUCAGCAAUCAUUAAAGCUACAUAUAUCAUUUAAUACUGACUCCAAGUUCUCUAAUCGGAACCCUGUGGCGGUUAGCAAACAUCGGUCCAGUAAUUAAUCCCUAAUUGUAACACUCGCUAUAUUCUCAUAUCGCGUGCAAAGCCACGUUAAAAACGCGAUAUGUGUGGGCUAUGUGUUAGCGUGUGUGCACGUUGUCGUCCGGAGGAGGG